AGCUGCGUGUGAGUGUGUGUGUGUGUGUGUGUGUGUGUGUGUGUGUGUACACAGGCUCCUGCUCUCAUGCACACAC
RNAcentral lists this microRNA precursor (76 nucleotides) under Myotis lucifugus (little brown bat). RNAcentral's name for it is "miRNA (ENSMLUG00000020268.1)". Lineage: Eukaryota; Metazoa; Chordata; Mammalia; Chiroptera; Vespertilionidae. The record is from RNAcentral.